UUUGGUGGCGAUAGCGGAAGGGUUCCACGCGUACCCAUACCGAACACGACCGUUAAGCCUUCCAGCGCCGAUGGUACUUGGACCGAAGGGU
This 91-nucleotide ribosomal RNA is filed under the name Paenibacillus lautus. The record is from RNAcentral. Lineage: Bacteria; Bacillati; Bacillota; Bacilli; Caryophanales; Paenibacillaceae.